UACGUAGGGUGCGAGCGUUAAUCGGAAUUACUGGGCGUAAAGCGUGCGCAGGCGGUUUUGCAAGCCGGAUGUGAAAUCCCCGGGCUCAACCUGGGAAUGGCAUUCGGGACUGCAAGGCUGGAGUACGGCAGAGGAGACUGGAAUUCCUGGUGUAGCAGUGAAAUGCGUAGAUAUCAGGAGGAAUACCGAUGGCGAAGGCAGGUCUCUGGGCUGACACUGACGCUCAUGCACGAAAGCGUGGGGAGCAAACAGG
This 253-nucleotide ribosomal RNA is filed under the name uncultured bacterium. Its description in RNAcentral is "partial 16S ribosomal RNA". It matches the Rfam family "Bacterial small subunit ribosomal RNA", at positions 524 to 776 of the family's 1533-position model. The record is from RNAcentral.